RNAcentral lists this ribosomal RNA (253 nucleotides) under uncultured bacterium. RNAcentral's name for it is "partial 16S ribosomal RNA". It matches the Rfam family "Bacterial small subunit ribosomal RNA", at positions 524 to 776 of the family's 1533-position model. The record is from RNAcentral.
UACGGGGGGGGCAAGCGUUGUUCGGAAUUACUGGGCGUAAAGGGCUCGUAGGCGGCCAACUAAGUCAGACGUGAAAUCCCCGGGCUCAACCCGGGAACUGCGUCCGAUACUGGAAGGCUUGAAUCCGGGAGAGGGAUGCGGAAUUCCAGGUGUAGCGGUGAAAUGCGUAGAUAUCUGGAGGAACACCGGUGGCGAAGGCGGCAUCCUGGACCGGCAUUGACGCUGAGGCGCGAAAGCUAGGGGAGCAAACGGG